AUUGAACGCUGGCGGCAGGCCUAACACAUGCAAGUCGAGCGGAGCGGCGGACGGGUGAGUAAUGCCUAGGAAUCUGCCUGGUAGUGGGGGAUAACGUCGGGAAACGGGCGCUAAUACCGCAUACUAUCAGAUGAGCCUAGGUCGGAUUAGCUAGUGGGCGGGGUAAAGGCCUACCAAGGAGACGAUGCGUAACUGGUCUGAGAGGAUGAUCAGUCACCCUGGAACUGAGACACGGUCCAGACUCCUACGGGAGGCAGCAGUGGGGAAUAUUCGACAAUGGUCUAAAGCCUGAUCCAGCCAUUCCGCGUGUGUGACGAAGGUCUUCGGAUUGUAAAGCACUUUAGGUUGGGAUGCGUUACCAACAGAAUAAGCACCGGCUAACUUCGUGCCAGCAGCCGCGGUAAUAC
This 407-nucleotide ribosomal RNA is filed under the name uncultured bacterium. RNAcentral's name for it is "partial 16S ribosomal RNA". It matches the Rfam family "Bacterial small subunit ribosomal RNA", at positions 30 to 526 of the family's 1533-position model. The record is from RNAcentral.